Molecule: long non-coding RNA, 721 nt
Filed under: Struthio camelus australis
Lineage: Eukaryota; Metazoa; Chordata; Aves; Struthioniformes; Struthionidae
Description: lncRNA (ENSSCUG00000010545.1)
Source: RNAcentral
CUGCAAGUUUGUACUUUGUGUUCCUUUCAAAGUUAAAGACUAGUACCAUUAGUACUGAAAGUAAAGAUUAGUGCUUUCAAACCUCUUGACAGAGGACCAUGGUCUUUAAUGAAGUUUUCUUUUUCCUUUGUUAAAUUCUAGCUUCACAGUCCUAUUGUUCAAAAAAUGGUUAACCAAAGAAAGCAGUUGUUAUGCUGCUUCUUGGGACGCUUUCAAGGAAGUAGAUGGAGCAGGUUUUAUUUUCCAAAACUGUGAACUUAAAAUUGACGCUUUGACUGAAUUUGUGGGGGGCGCUGGAUAAACCAGACCACGGUCCUUUGAGGAAGAAUAUAAAAGGGAGAAAUCACUCAGCUUUUAACCAUUUUUGGAUCUCUUAAAACAAUCUAUAAUCAUGGAGAUAUUUAGCCCAAUUCAUUAUUGCAAAUUUUUGAAGAACUGGAUAAUUGCAAAUAUUUAUCUGAUGAACAUAGUAACCAGGUGGAAUUGAAGGUAAUCAAAUAAUUAACAAAAAUAUGCCGAUUGCUUCAGGAAACUUUAAAUGGUCUGAAGAGUUGAAGGGACGAAUACAGACUUUUUGGUCUUGCUUCUCAGGUCUGUCUCACCGGUAAGUGUUCAUAGACGCUGAUUUAGCAGGAAGUUAACAGUCUUUAAAUAAGGUUUCGCUAAUCACUGAUGAACAAGUGUGACCUGUGUAAUAUAGUCUGUCUUUCAUUCAUGUGAA